AGGCAGAUGGAUGCUUUGGGGACUGGUGGUGUUGGCUUUACUCCUCAUGUCAUUCUUGUGAAACCAGGAGAGGAUAUUGCCUCAAAAGUUAUGGCAUUUUCACAGCAGGGGCCACGGACUGUUUGUAUUCUCUCUGCCCAUGGUGCUGUUUGCAAUGUUACACUUCAACCUGCAAUGUCAGCUGGUAGUGUGUCAUACGAGGGCCGCUAUGAAAUCAUAUCUCUAUCAGG
Molecule: unclassified non-coding RNA, 230 nt
Filed under: Hevea brasiliensis (rubber tree)
Lineage: Eukaryota; Viridiplantae; Streptophyta; Magnoliopsida; Malpighiales; Euphorbiaceae
Source: RNAcentral